Molecule: long non-coding RNA, 765 nt
Filed under: Homo sapiens (human)
Lineage: Eukaryota; Metazoa; Chordata; Mammalia; Primates; Hominidae
Description: HSALNT0198019
Source: RNAcentral
UCGUUUCAGGCUCUUCAGUGUCAGUGCUCAGUAUCUGCCUUAGAGAACUACGAGAAGGGGCUGCUAGCAGCCGCCAUCCGGGGCACUGGGUGGCUGCAGGUGGUGGUGGCGAUGGAACGGUAGGAGGGCGGCCAGCAGCGGGAGCUUCUCCUGCCGGGCAGGAGGACGAGUAGAAGGGAGAGGCACCACCACAUGCUGGAGGCUGGAGCUUGCACCGCCGCAGCUCGCCUCACUGCAGUUGGAGGUGACGUUGGACACUACAGCUUGGCCAGAGUGGUAGAAAUGUUGUUGCAUAGGAUUACCAGGAGACACCAGGUGCUGCAGCAGCUUCGGGAUAACUUGAGGAUGCAUCCUGGGGAAGAGGGACAGCUUCGGUGUGGCUUUUCUGCGGCCAGCUUCUUUGAGGCCUUUUUCUUUCAUGGAUGGUAGAGAGCAGUCUACAGCCUGAGACCCAUCACAAGGUUCCUUGUGAGACACCUGGGGGACUCCAAACAGCCGGAAUCCAUCUGCCCACUGGUCCGGAGACAGGGAUCCUCCGCCUCCUUCCAGGGUUGAUGGCUCAGGAGGCCUUCUCUGCAGGGGACCAGGACACAGGAAAGCCAGGAAGAGAUGAGCUGGGAAGGGAGCUGUUGGGGGCCAUUCUGGUUUUAAAAAUAAAGCAGGACUUUCGUUGCUUGUUAUAAAAGGAACACAUGCUCAUUUUCUGUGAUUUAGGAAAGCGCAGAAAAGUAAAAGGGAAAGAAGAACGUAGCCGCUGCCUAGCAC